Long non-coding RNA from Rattus rattus (black rat), 188 nucleotides. RefSeq lists it as uncharacterized. The transcript has 3 exons. The record is from RefSeq and is a predicted model, not a curated record. NCBI's taxonomy places the organism in Eukaryota, Metazoa, Chordata, Mammalia, Rodentia, Muridae.
AUUCAAAAUAGUAGAGGCACUUGAUCUGACUUUGUUAGUUUGAAUACAGAUGAAGCUGGAGAAAGGAAAGCAAGUAGGCCUACUAACUACAGGGGCACAUCAUUUGUCUCCAGAUACCUUUAAAGAUAAUCCUUGUGAAACAGCGACCGAGCUGCAGGGAUGUGUGUUAAUUACGCUUCACUGGUGAG